CGGGAUUCAAUGAGUCUACCAUACAACUUUGGGCGGUUCAAGAAUGGAACAUCGUGAAACAAAGUCCCUUUCAUCUAUCAAUCCUGUCACUUGGAGUUUUUAUAGAUUUUCAAAAGAAUCAUAGCUUACCUCUUUGUUAUUGUGGUACACUUAGGUCAUUGACAUAUUUAGUAUUUGUGGAUCUUACUAAGGCAUUUAAAGAUUGAUGCCUUGAAAAAAUCCUACCUCUAAAAAGGUUAUAUCUAGAGUUUAGGUAAUUCAAGGAUUACCUUGCAUAUGUUGCCAAGUCAAAGCCGGGAUCCUAGGAGGGGAGUGUCAUACUCUUAGAUCAAUAUUAUGCAUGUGUGUGGAAAUAUUUGGUGUCUAUCCUAAUUCUACAUUGCUCCUUGAGAGUAUUCCUUGAAGAAUUUACAAUGAAGAUCAUUAGACUUUCUUGUGAUAAUAAACUUCUUUAGGUAUAGAGAUAAGAGCUAUCAUUUUCUUCUUCUCUUUUUUAAACACUUAUUUUGCAUAGCUCUAUACCACUGCCCUAGAAUACAAUAAUCUUGAAAGGGAAUUAAUCACAAUUCUGGAGCAUUUAUUUUAAAGCCUAUAAUCUUUUUGGAUCUUCUCCUAGGGUAGGAGAUAGAUUUUUAGGGUGGAAAAUGUAUGUGUUGCGUACUCCUAAGGUAGGAGCAGCAGAUAUAUUUGGGUGUAAGUGAUCUUGAUCUUGAGAGCAUGACCCACCUCUCAACAGGUUCUGAUCUUGAUCUUGAUCUUGAGAGCACAAUUUGAAUUAAGUCAAUAUAAAGCAAGUAGCUUAUGAGCUAAUUUUAUAAUCAUGUAAGGCUUAGGUAGGCAUUGAUCUUACCACAGAGGAAGAUUAGCUAUUAUUUUUAAUGUUUUUGGAAAGAAAUUCUCCAAAUGAUAGAACAUUAAGAAUCAGGUUCUCGUUAUUCUUCUAUCUCACAAUCCACAAGGGCCUAAGUGUAUGGGGUCCCUAACAAAAACUUCCCAACAACAUAAGUAUUCCUAGGAAUAGUGUUGUGCAAAUCUAUCCUUAAGUCAUGGUGAAGCAACAUUAAUCUUUAAUCUAGGCAAGUAUAGAACUUGUUUUUUUUUGUUUUUUAAUAGGUCAUCAAUUAUCACAGCAUGUGUAUGAGAAUAGAGAGUAUGAGGAACGUACGAUACCGUGUUGACGGGGAUGGAUAUGAUGAAGAGCUAGGCACAUAGCCUGUGUAGCCAAUCUAGACCCACUUCAUCGGGUGCGGUUUUGUUGUCGAAUACUUCUAUUUUCUCAUAAAUUUGCAAUCAACUUCUUAUUAGCAAGGUCUCUCCCCCACUCUUGUUUCCUGUUAUGCCAACAAAACAUGUGGAGACAAGGCACAUAUCCAAAAAUAAUAGAGAGAGAGAGAGAAAUAUAUGACUCUAAGACAACUUUAUUGUCAUUAUUUAAGGUACCUUUAUUACACGACUCAAGCAAACUACAAACAAACUAAUUAAAGACUCUUAAAACUCUAAGACUCAAAAUACUAGUGCCUUAUCAAUCGACUCUAUUUUCUCUCUCAUUUCUUCUCUAUUUUCUUCUCCUUCUCUUCCAUCCCAUCCAUGAGGUUAACUAAGGUGUGACAGGUGAUGUUAUGCUUAGCUUUUAGGCCUCUAUACUUGACAUCUCACUUGUAUACACAUCUAGUCAAUCUACCUAUCAUGGCACUUAACGUGGCUAUGCUAUGCUUAUUCCUAUCACUGGCAUGGGUAAGAUCUGCUACUUGUUUCUUGACCUCAGCAAUGGCUUGGGUGAGAGUCUCGUUGGACUCAGGGAGAGCCUCUAUCUGCUUCUAUAGAUCUGCAUUGGAUAUUCUUUUGCAUUUUGGCCCAUUAGAGGUAGAUGAAGGAGACGGAGAUCUAUGAGUCUUGACUGUUGGUAUUUUUAACAUCACUUCAUAUUAAGUUGUCAUCCCUAACAUGAUGCCAAAAACCAAGGAUAAAAAUAAUCUACAUGCAAUAACUCUAAAUAGAAUAUAUCCGCAAGCGCAUAGAUAAUUCUCCUGUUGUAGCAUUUCACCCAGGAAGUAUUCCGAGUAUCGUUGAUUCAUUUUAUGCCAAAAGGAUAAAGGAGCAUUCUAAUCAUUAAUCUUAGGUAAUCUUAUAAGGACUAAAGAAAUUAUAAUUAUGUAAAUCUAUCAUAGCCAAUAGUACUAAUGCUUUAGAGAUAACUAGUCAAUAGUAUGAUAAAUGAUAAAUGAUAAUUGAGUACAUUAAGUAAAUGGUAUUCUAGAGAUAGAGAAUCUAGACUCACUAAUGUAGCAAGGCAAUCUUAAAAUUCAGUUAAAGUAAAAGAAACCUAUGUAAUUACUAAUAUAAAGUCUACAACCUACACCAUGCUACUCAUUUUCAUCUAUAGUGUGAUAAACUCAGAAAACAUCAUAAGGAGCAUCAACUAAUGAGGAUAUAAGACACAAGGGUCACCUCCUUCACGACCGCGAUAAGACACAAGGGUUAUCAAGAAAUACAGGAGAAAGACCCACAUGUCAGGAUUACAUAGAGAUAUUAACAAGCCGCGCAAUUAUCUUACAUCUAGAAGACUCCAGAAGCCACGAGACCGAAGCGGAGGCGAAACGGGGCCAGGGGCAGGGCGCCCGCCCUGUUCCCCUGGGCGCCCGCCCCCUCUGAGAGUCCAAUCAGGACUCUGCUUCGUGGGAGAUCUCCACUGACCUAAAGGAUCAAGGAUAACCGUUCAAUCUAAGUCAGUUUGAUCCAACGGCCCAUAUUCACUUGAAGGGACUAUAAAACCAGACCCCCUAGCCCCUGGAGAAGAGAGCCUCUCAACCCUAAUUCAUUAUUCCUCAAGGGAGAAGAAGCCCCUGAUCAAGAUUAGAGCCACCACAUCAAUUAGAUAUCUAGAUUAGCAUAGCUACAUAGGAUUAGAAAUAGAAGGAGUCAAUCUUCGAUUGGUUUCCGGAUCUAUCAAGAGGAUUCUUGGUAAUUCUCUAAUUGUGCUUCUAAUUGCUUUCUAAUUAUCUUUGUUCUUCAAUAUUAUGAAUAUGACUUUGUUCUACUUCAAUAUAUUGCUUAUGACUUUGCUCUACUUGCUUAUAUUCAAGAUUAUGUUGUUCUUAGUUUAUCAUAGUUAUGUACUUGGCUUAGUUAGAUUAGAUCUAUAUACAUGCUUAGGAUCGUAUAGCGUUUAUCCAUCGGAUCCAUGGGUAAAUGAUAGAUAUUGUGUAGGCGUGGUUCUUAUACUGUAUUUAUCUGUGAUUGUACCCAAUAUGCCAGAUCGUGGGGUAGUUCAUGAUAGUGACAGCUUCAUUGAUUCUUAUAUAGUCCUCCUCUCGUGUAUUGGGCUGGCAGAGCAAUAUUAUUACAGGGGAGUGAUUGCUAUUUUUCUCAUAUUCCUUGCUAAUAUCACUAUGCAUGGGCGUAGUCUUGUCUCGCAAUGAUUGCUAAGUAUGCUUGCACUAACUAUGAUAAUGCUAGACUAUAUAGUUGAGAAUAACUUAGGAAAUAUUCUUGUAGUUCGUUCUAAUUCCAUGCUAAUGACUUUCUAGAGUAUCUAAUUGAGGUGCUUAUCAUAUUUAUUAUGUGGCUAGUUAUGAUCAGAUUAAUUAUCUUUGUCACUAUUCAUUACUUCAUAUAUCUUUUACGUGACACUUACCCCUGUAUGAAAGAGUUAGAUAAUUGUUCUCAAUUACAUAUGCAAUGAUAGAUACUCAAUCUCAUAUUCUAUUCUGUAAUCACUAUUGAUGAUUGCUAAUCCCUUCCCAGUGGUAAAAAUAUAAAUAACGAUACCUGGAAUACAUCCCGGUUAAAAUGCUACAUCAGUAUUAAUCUGUGCGCUUGCAGAUCCCAUUCAUUAUUUAUUUAGAAGAGCAAUUGCAUAUUUCAAUACCGCGUCUCUCAUGUCAUGCUGGGGAUGACAACUUGGCUUAAGUGGUAUGAGGGAUAGGUUUGGCAUUUUUGGCACCGUUACUAGAAUUAGGAAUUGUCUAGUUUUGGUAGUGAUGUUAAGAAUACCCAACAGACAUCAGCACUGGACCUCUCUUAGUCAUAUGAGUACUACGGGAUUCAAUGAGUCUACCAUACAACUUUGGGCGGUUCAAGAAUGGAACAUCGUGAAACAAAGUCCCUUUCAUCUAUCAAUCCUGUCACUUGGAGUUUUUAUAGAUUUUCAAAAGAAUCAUAGCUUACCUCUUUGUUAUUGUGGUACACUUAGGUCAUUGACAUAUUUAGUAUUUGUGGAUCUUACUAAGGCAUUUAAAGAUUGAUGCCUUGAAAAAAUCCUACCUCUAAAAAGGUUAUAUCUAGAGUUUAGGUAAUUCAAGGAUUACCUUGCAUAUGUUGCCAAGUCAAAGCCGGGAUCCUAGGAGGGGAGUGUCAUACUCUUAGAUCAAUAUUAUGCAUGUGUGUGGAAAUAUUUGGUGUCUAUCCUAAUUCUACAUUGCUCCUUGAGAGUAUUCCUUGAAGAAUUUACAAUGAAGAUCAUUAGACUUUCUUGUGAUAAUAAACUUCUUUAGGUAUAGAGAUAAGAGCUAUCAUUUUCUUCUUCUCUUUUUUAAACACUUAUUUUGCAUAGCUCUAUACCACUACCCUAGAAUACAAUAAUCUUGAAAGGGAAUUAAUCACAAUUCUGGAGCAUUUAUUUUAAAGCCUAUAAUCUUUUGGAUCUUCUCCUAGGGUAGGAGAUAGAUUUUUAGGGUGGAAAAUGUAUGUGUUGCGUACUCCUAAGGUAGGAGCAGCAGAUAUAUUUGGGUGUAAGUGAUCUUGAUCUUGAGAGCAUGACCCACCUCUCAACAGGUUCUGAUCUUGAUCUUGAUCUUGAUCUUGAGAGCACAAUUUGAAUUAAGUCAAUGCAAAGCAAGUAGCUUAUGAGCUAAUUUUAUAAUCAUGUAAGGCUUAGGUAGGCAUUGAUCUUACCACAGAGGAAGAUUAGCUAUUAUUUUUAAUGUUUUUGGAAAGAAAUUCUCCAAAUGAUAGAACAUUAAGAAUCAGGUUCUCGUUAUUCUUCUAUCUCACAAUCCACAAGGGCCUAAGUGUAUGGGGUCCCUAACAAAAACUUCCCAACAACAUAAGUAUUCCUAGGAAUAGUGUUGUGCAAAUCUAUCCUUAAGUCAUGGUGAAGCAACAUUAAUCUUUAAUCUAGGCAAGUAUAGAACUUGUUUUUUUUUGUUUUUUAAUAGGUCAUCAAUUAUCACAGCAUGUGUAUGAGAAUAGAGAGUAUGAGGAACGUACGAUACCGUGUUGACGGGGAUGGAUAUGAUGAAGAGCUAGGCACAUAGCCUGUGUAGCCAAUCUAGACCCACUUCAUCGGGUGCGGUUUUGUUGUCGAAUACUUCUAUUUUCUCAUAAAUUUGCAAUCAACUUCUUAUUAGCAAGGUCUCUCCCCCACUCUUGUUUCCUGUUAUGUCAACAAAACAUGUGGAGACAAGGCACAUAUCCAAAAAUAAUAGAGAGAGAGAGAGAGAGAAAUAUAUGACUCUAAGACAACUUUAUUGUCAUUAUUUAAGGUACCUUUAUUACACGACUCAAGCAAACUACAAACAAACUAAUUAAAGACUCUUAAAACUCUAAGACUCAAAAUACUAGUGCCUUAUCAAUCGACUCUAUUUUCUCUCUCAUUUCUUCUCUAUUUUCUUCUCCUUCUCUUCCAUCCCAUCCAUGAGGUUAACUAAGGUGUGACAGGUGAUGUUAUGCUUAGCUUUUAGGCCUCUAUACUUGACAUCUCACUUGUAUACACAUCUAGUCAAUCUACCUAUCAUGGCACUUAACGUGGCUAUGCUAUGCUUAUUCCUAUCACUGGCAUGGGUAAGAUCUGCUACUUGUUUCUUGAGCUCAGCAAUGGCUUGGGUGAGAGUCUCGUUGGACUCAGGGAGGGCCUCUAUCUGCUUCUAUAGAUCUGCAUUGGAUAUUCUUUUGCAUUUUGGCCCAUUAGAGGUAGAUGAAGGAGACGGAGAUCUAGGAGUCUUGACUGUUGGUAUUUUUAACAUCACUUCAUAUUAAGUUGUCAUCCCUAACAUGAUGCCAAAAACCAAGGAUAAAAAUAAUCUACAUGCAAUAACUCUAAAUAGAAUAUAUCCGCAAGCGCAUAGAUAAUUCUCCUGUUGUAGCAUUUCACCCAGGAAGUAUUCCGAGUAUCGUUGAUUCAUUUUAUGCCAAAAGGAUAAAGGAGCAUUCUAAUCAUUAGGCUUAGGUAAUCUUAUAAGGACUAAAGAAAUUAUAAUUAUGUAAAUCUAUCAUAGCCAAUAGUACUAAUGCUUUAGAGAUAACUAGUCAAUAGUAUGAUAAAUGAUAAAUGAUAAUUGAGUACA
RNAcentral lists this long non-coding RNA (6284 nucleotides) under Sorghum bicolor (sorghum). Its description in RNAcentral is "long non-coding RNA (SBIC_LNC014746)". Lineage: Eukaryota; Viridiplantae; Streptophyta; Magnoliopsida; Poales; Poaceae. The record is from RNAcentral.